CGGACGGGUGAGUAACGCGUGAAUGACAUGCCCUUGAGAGGGGGAUAGCCCAGGGAAACUUGGAUUAAUACCCCAUGGUCUCGCAAGAGUAAAAGGUGGCCAGCAAUGGCUGUCGCUCAGGGAUUGGUUCGCGGCCUAUCAGCUAGUUGGCGGGGUAACGGCCCACCAAGGCGACGACGGGUACCUGGUCUGAGAGGACGAUCAGGCACACUGGAACUGAGACACGGUCCAGACACCUACGGGUGGCAGCAGUCGAGAAUAAUUCACAAUGGGGGCAACCCUGAUGGUGCAACGCCGCGUGGAGGAUGAAGGUCUUCGGAUUGUAAACUCCUGUCAUCCGGGAGCAAGACCUGGCCGUGAAUAGCGGACAGGGUUGAUAGUACCGGAAGAGGAAGGGACGGCUAACUUCGUGCCAGCAGCCGCGGUAAUACGAAGGUCCCGAGCGUUGUUCGGAAUCACUGGGCGUAAAGGGAGCGUAGGCGGUGCGGUAAGUCAGAUGUGAAAUCCCGGGGCUCAACCCCGGAACUGCAUCCGAUACUGCCGUGCUUGGAGGGUUGGAGAGGUAGCUGGAAUUCUUGGUGUAGCAGUGAAAUGCGUGGAUAUCAAGAGGAACACUCGUGGCGAAAGCGAGCUACUGGACAACACCUGACGCUGAGGCUCGAAGGCCAGGGGAGCGAAAGGGAUUAGAUACCCCUGUAGUC
This 701-nucleotide ribosomal RNA is filed under the name uncultured Verrucomicrobiota bacterium. Its description in RNAcentral is "bacterial SSU rRNA". It matches the Rfam family "Bacterial small subunit ribosomal RNA", at positions 99 to 795 of the family's 1533-position model. The record is from RNAcentral. Lineage: Bacteria; Pseudomonadati; Verrucomicrobiota.